Molecule: non-coding RNA, 82 nt
Organism: Hydractinia symbiolongicarpus
Lineage: Eukaryota; Metazoa; Cnidaria; Hydrozoa; Anthoathecata; Hydractiniidae
Source: the annotation of a RefSeq genome assembly
GCUGCGAUGGCCGAGUGGUUAAGGCGUUUUACACGAAAUCAAAAUGGGAUAUCCCGCACAGGUUCGAAUCCUGUUCGCAGCG